UAUGGAAGUUCCCAGACUAGGUGUCAAAUCGGAGCUGCAGCUGCUGGCCCACACCACAGCUACAGCAACCCCAGAUCCAAGCCGCAUCUGUGACCUAUGCCACAGCUUGUGGCAGCGAUAGAUCUUUAACCCAGGAUGAGGGAGGCCAGCAAUAGAACCCACAUCCUCAGAGAUGCUAUGUGGGGUUCUUCACCUGCUGAGCCAUAGCAGGAACUCCUAGGUUUUGGUUUUGACCAUAAGCUACCAAGGCAUAGAGCCAACUCAGUCCCAUAGCUUCUUGUUUAACUACUUUAAUAAUUUCCUGACCAACGAUUUGGUAAUACUGCCACUCUCCAUCACCGCUCCAAUUGUCUCAUCAUGAAACUCAUAGGUUAUGACGUCGGGCUGCGGAAGAAUUGGUUUUGCUCUUCGUCUCAUGGUCCACCUAGUUUCUCUUUCUCCAAACCCAGUGAGACCCUCUGAUGUACUGCUGGUGGCUACAAAGGUGAAGUGUAUUUAAAACUCUUGAGAGAGCACACCAGGGAGAGCAGGAAGGUGACUACCAGGAGGAUGGUACUGAGACUAAGGAUGCUCCUUAGCUGGGGCCCCAGGGACCACACCAGUUGGUAACAGAUAAAUCAAAGAAUGCACCUGAAGAGGCGUCAACCUUUUUUUUAGCCUAGGGGCUUGUUUGUUCAUUUGUUUGAGUUUCUACUUUACCAGAGUUGUUGAUCCAAGGAGGGCAGGAGGUCACUGCUAUGGCAUAGACUCUUCUUUGCUCAGCCAGCAAGUAAUCUAAAUGCUCUUUUUCUUCUUCUUUUUUUUUAACAGCUACACCUGGGGCAUAUGAAAGUUUCCUGGGCUGGGGGUCAAAUCAGAGCUGCAGCUUGGAGCAAUGCCAGAUCCUUAACCCACUGAGCAAGGCCAGGGAUUGAACCUGCAUCCUCAUGAGCACUAUGUCAGGUUCUUAACCCACUGUGCCACAGUGGGAACUCCCUGCUACUCAUUAUUCUUCCCCUUUGAAAUUUCUGCAAGACAUCCCAGGUUGAGUUGGUCGAUGGUUCCCUCUUACUUAACCAGUCUCUUCGUCCUGAGAAUAGGUCAGUUCAGUUAGACAGUUGAGUGUCAUUUCAGGAAGACGUGUUGAUGGCGGGUCCCCAAGCACUCAUGUAUUUAAUAAGAGGUCUCUCUAUGGAAACAAAAGAAAAAUAAAGGAUAACGGUAGGAACAGAUUAUAAAUCAGUUUCUGAGACCAGAGCUCAGCCAGUUGAGAAGGUUUCUGGAUACUGGACUCCUAGACAUUGGGCUCAAAGCAUCUGUUGCAGUUUGAAUGUCUUUGUGAUGUCAUCGGGUGUUUGAAUGAACUUCCUGAGUGGCCCAUGUGGCAGCAGGCACAAAGCUUAUCCAUGUGUGACCUGUGGGGGUGGUUUCUCUGAAGUUCAUGUCAAGUCAUCCAGCUCCAGUUUGCAGGGCUUGGUGAAAAAGACAGUUUUUGUUCUCAAUGAUUCCAAGUCAGGAGGGUGGAAGAAAAUUGGAAACAUUUAGUUUGGAGAGUUGUAGCCAGAUAUGGGAGGAAACUAGAAGAAUUCAGGAUCUAGCCCAGUUUACAGGUACAUAACAAAAAUCUCAAGACAAUGACCAUGACUAGAAUCUGAUCUCCACCAGGGUGUGUUAGAGUUUUCUACAGAAACAUAAUUUUUCUCUGUAUAAUUACCCCAGUAAUCACAGUGAGAUGAAUUUAUUUGCAAAAAUAAGUCUAGUCUCAUUAGAAUUGGCCUGAUUAUUUAUAGAAGAGCAGCAAGAGUAGCGAUUGUAUGUUUGUUCUUAAAUAGGAUGUUCCAUUUAAGCUUCGUGAUACCUAGGGGCUUUAUUGGCUCCAUAAAGUCAACCCUAGUUUAUUAAAUUUUUGAAAGUCUCUUUAGUCUCAGAAGCCAAGUCAAGGACUCAUUCAGUCGUGUCCUUUUAUAGUCUUUGCAAAUACCUACAUUGUAAAGAUGAAAAUAUUCAAUAAGAGUUUCUGAAUUCUGGAGUGAUCAGGUAGAGAGAAAAAGAUAAAUAUAUUCUGUUUUUGUUUACAAAGUAUACUUUACCAAAUUGCUGUAAUAUAGAUAACGUAAAAGAAAGGAGAAAGAGGGCUCUUUUCUACGGCCACACCUGCAGCAUAUGGAUGCUUCCAGACCAGGGACUUUACCGGAGCCACAGCUGUGACCUAUGACCUAUGCUGUGGCUGUGGCAAUGCCAAGUCAAGAGGGUUCUUUACAUCUGGAAAACAACUGAAAAUCAGCAAUGUUUCAAAGUCAUAGAAUUUAUAGUUAUCCUCAUCAGUUCAUUUAGCCUCAUGUAAUUAAUUCUUUUUUUCUUUUCCAUUGCGGUUUAUUACAUGACUUUAAAUAUAGUUCCCUGUGCUUUACAGUAGGACCUUGUUGUUUAUCCAUUCUAUAUGUAAUAUUUUGCAUCUUCUAAUCCCAAACUCCCAAUCCAUCCCUCCUCCAUCCCCUCACCUCCUUGGCAACCACAAGUCCAUUCUCUGUAUCUGUGAGUCUGUUUUUGUUUCAUAGAUAAGUUCAUUGUGUCACAUUUUAGAUUCCACAUAUAAGAGAUAUCAUACAAUAUUUAUCUUCUUCUUUCUGACUUGCACUUAGCACUGAAACCGGCAGAAUGUAUUUUGAGACAGUAAAGUGUAGGUUCUACUGUCUUGGCACAGAAGGAAUUCAGCGAGAGGCAGAGUGACAGGUAAGGAAAAAGUUCAUUAGUAUAGGAUGCUUGUGAGAGAUACAGGCAGGCAAGAGAAGGAGUGCCACCCUGAGAACUAAGUGGGGUACAGUUUUAUACUUGAAGGAAAAGUGGGGAGGGGGAGAAGACCACCAUCUUCCUCAUUCUGGAGUAGAUGUCAAGCUUCCAUCCUCAGCGUCUCCUCUGUGUUGGGCAGGGGGGUUUUCUCGUCCCUACGUGUGGUCAAACUGGGACCGUCAUGGCGCAAUGGAAAUGAGCAAAAAGGCAGUAACUUAUAGUAAAAUAUGAUAAUCAUCUCAGGUUUCAGGAUAAUGUCACUUUCCCCUAUAUUUUUGUGUUUAGUGUGUGUGGCGAAACAUAUCCUAGGGAAUCAUUAACUUACUGAUCUUACUGGGCAGGAUGUGAGUUUUUUGGUUUUUGUUUUUGUUUUUGUUUUUUGGUCUUUUUAGGGCCACACCCUCAGUAUAUGGAGGUUCCCAGGCUAGGGGUGGAAUUGGAGCUCUAGCUGCCAGCCUACAUCAUGGCCACAGCAGCGUGGGAUCCAAGCCAUGUCACAACCUACACCUCGCUCCUUAACCUACUGAGGCCAGGGAUCAAACCCACAUCCUCAUGGAUACUAAUUGGGUUCAUUAACCACUGAAUGAUGACAGGAACUCCCUCAUUCCACCAUUGUUUUAUUGUUUGGAAGCGUUUCUCAUGCUUCUGUUGCAUGGUUUUGCCGCUAAGCAAGGCUUGCUUGGUUUUAUUGUUAAGCUGGUCUGCUUUUUGAGUGAUCAUUAACUUACAGGGUAGCCCAUACUUUUUUUUUUCCUACUCAUAAGCUCCUAGUGGGAUUAACUAUUUAGUCAACUGCUCUGGCCCUUUUCUCUGUCUCUAUCCCAUAUGAUAAUCUCUAUUCAUCUAUGUUGCUGCAGAUGGCAUUAUUUCAUUCUUAAGCCUUAGAAACUUUAAUAUCACUAAGAAAUGAGCAAUUGUGGGCUGUUGGUUCAAUCCCUGGCCUCUCUCAGUGGGUUAAGGAUCCAGUGGUUCCAUGAGCUUUGGUGUAGGUGGCAAACAAGGCUUGGAUCCUGCAUUGCUGUGGCUGUUGUGUAGACCAGCAGCUGCAGCUCUGAUUCGACCCUAACCUGGGAACUUCCAUAUGCUGGAGGUGUGGCUCUAAAAAGC
RNAcentral lists this long non-coding RNA (3876 nucleotides) under Sus scrofa (pig). Its description in RNAcentral is "lncRNA (ENSSSCG00005030928.1)". The record is from RNAcentral. Lineage: Eukaryota; Metazoa; Chordata; Mammalia; Artiodactyla; Suidae.